This 249-nucleotide non-coding RNA is filed under the name Nitrospirota bacterium. RNAcentral's name for it is "Nitrospirae bacterium T-box sequence". It matches the Rfam family "T-box leader". From Rfam's summary of the family: Uncharged tRNA acts as the effector for transcription antitermination of genes in the T-box leader family. The record is from RNAcentral. Lineage: Bacteria; Pseudomonadati; Nitrospirota.
GUAAAAACUGUGAAGAGGAGUAGUAAGGGUUCCCCCCUGCCUUAGAGAGCCGGCGGAUGCUGCGAGCCGGCGCAGGGCGCCCUGAACUCGCCUCGGAGUCGCGAAGGUGAACCUGUUGAUCAGGACAGCCGUAGUCUUCGCCGGCUGGCGGCCGUCAUCCUGCCGGAAAUAAGGGUGACCGGGGUCGGGUCCCUGGCUCACUGAAACAGGGUGGUACCACGUGGGAAAUUUUCAGCCCUCGUCCCUGGC